CAAUAGCGUAUAUUUAAGUUGCUGCAGUUAAAAAGCUCGUAGUUGGAUUUCGGGUGGGAAUGGCCGGUCCGCCGUUUCGGUGUGCACUUGCUACGCCCACCUUGCUGCCGGGGACGUGCUCUUGAGUUCACGCUCGGGACACGGAGUCGGCGAGGUUACUUUGAGUAAAUUAGAGUGUUCAAAGCAGGCCUACGCUCUGAAUACAUUAGCAUGGAAUAACACGAUAGGACUCUGGCCUAUCUUGUUGGUCUGUAGGACCGGAGUAUUGAUUAAGAGGGACAGUCGGGGGCAUUCGUAUUUCAUUGUCAGAGGUGAAAUUCUUGGAUUUAUGAAAGACGAACUACUGCGAAAGCAUUUGCCAAGGAUGUUUUCAUUAA
RNAcentral lists this ribosomal RNA (377 nucleotides) under uncultured eukaryote. RNAcentral's name for it is "partial 18S ribosomal RNA". It matches the Rfam family "Eukaryotic small subunit ribosomal RNA", at positions 592 to 976 of the family's 1831-position model. The record is from RNAcentral.